This 254-nucleotide ribosomal RNA is filed under the name uncultured bacterium. Its description in RNAcentral is "partial 16S ribosomal RNA". It matches the Rfam family "Bacterial small subunit ribosomal RNA", at positions 524 to 776 of the family's 1533-position model. The record is from RNAcentral.
GACGAAGGGGGCAAGCGUUGUUCGGAAUUACUGGGCGUAAAGAGCGCGUAGGCGGCUCGGUAAGUGUGAAGUGAAAUCUCUAGGGCUCAACCCAGAAACUGCUUUACAUACUGCCAAGCUGGAGUGAUGAAGAGGUUUGUGGAAUUCCUGGUGUAGCGGUGAAAUGCGUUGAUAUCAGGAGGAACACCCAUGGCGAAGGCAGCAAACUGGUCAUCAACUGACGCUGAGGCGCGAAAGCGUGGGUAGCAAACAGG